Molecule: ribosomal RNA, 1243 nt
Filed under: uncultured organism
Description: partial 16S ribosomal RNA
Rfam family: Bacterial small subunit ribosomal RNA
Source: RNAcentral
GCGGCGUGCUUAAUACAUGCAAGUCGUGCGAGAAAGUACCCUUCGGGGUGCGAGUAGAGCGGCCAACGGGUGAUUACCCCGUUAGUAACCUACCUCUAAAUCUGGAAUAACUCUGCCAACGCGGAGCUAAUAUCGGAUGUGGUCACGAUUCUGCAUGGUAUUGUGACUAAAGGUGACCUCUCCUUGAAAGGUACCGGUGAGAUAUGGGCUUGCGGACCAUUAGCUAGUUGGUGAGGUAACGGCUCAACAAGGCUACGAUGGAUAACCGGCCUAAGAGGGUGAUCGACCACGUUGGGACUGAUAUACGGCCCAGACCCCUACAGUAUGCAGCAGUAGGGAAUUUUGCGCAAUGGACGAAACUCUUACGCAAUAACGCCGCGUGAGGGAUGACGGCCUUCGGGUUGUAAACCACUGUUGAGUGGGAAUAAAAGCUUUGUGGUUAAUAUCCACAGAGUCUGACGGUACCACUCGAGGAAGCUCCGGCUAACUACGUGCCAGCAGCCGUGGUAAUACUUAUGGGGCUAGCGUUGUUCUGAAUCACUGGGCGUAAAGGGAGUGUAAGCGGACCGGUAAGUUAUGAGUUACAUGUACGGGCUCAACCCGUGAUCUGCUCGGAAUACUGUCGGUCUUGAUUAUGGGAGACGGAGAUAUAAUUCCAUGUGUAGCGGUGGAAUGCUUACAUAUCUGGAAGAACACCACUUGCGAGAGCCUUCUCCUGGACCACUUCUGACGCUAAUGCUCUAAAACUGGGGGAGCGACCCAGGAUUAGAUACCCUGGUAGUCCCAGCCGUCCACGAUGGACACUAGUUGCCGGAGGAGUCAAUCCCUUCGGUGACGAAGUUAACGCAGUAAGUGUCCCACCUGGGGAGUACGCUCGCAAGGGUGAAACUCAAAGGAAUUGACGGGGGCCCGCACAACCGGUGGAGCAUGUGCUGUAAUUAGAUGCGACGCGAAGAACCGAACCUGGGUUUGACAUGGGGGGUGAAAGUUUCCAGAGAUGGAAGCGGGUCAUUCGGGAACACCCCACACAGGUGCCGCAUGGUUGUCGUCAGCUCGUGUCGUGAGAUGUUGGAUUAAGUCCCGCAACGAGCGCAACCCGUGCCAUUAGUUGCCAUCAGGUAAAGCUGGGAACUCUAAGGGGUCAGCUUGGUAUGACCAGGAGGAAGGUGAGGAUGACGCCAAAUCAUCAUGGCUCGUACGCCCAGGGCUAGACACGUGAUACAAUGGCAGGUACAGUGGGAUG